This 75-nucleotide transfer RNA is filed under the name Gelidium isabelae. Its description in RNAcentral is "tRNA-Ala". It matches the Rfam family "tRNA". From Rfam's summary of the family: Transfer RNA (tRNA) molecules are approximately 80 nucleotides in length. Lineage: Eukaryota; Rhodophyta; Florideophyceae; Gelidiales; Gelidiaceae. The record is from RNAcentral.
GGGGGUAUAGUUUAGAUAUGGUAAAACAUAUGUUUUGCAUACAUAAGAUCAUCGGUUCGAAUCCGAUUAUUUCCA